Molecule: long non-coding RNA, 1102 nt
Organism: Camelina sativa (false flax)
Lineage: Eukaryota; Viridiplantae; Streptophyta; Magnoliopsida; Brassicales; Brassicaceae
Source: RefSeq, a predicted model, not a curated record
UUAAUUCCUCUUUUGCAAUAGUGAAGAGGGAUUAAAAAAAGAAAGAAGAUUGUGAGGUGUAAAAUUUUCUCUCUCUUCUCUCUCUUUCAUCUUUCAGAGAGAAAGAAUUUUUUUUUCCGUUUUCGCUUAGCCGGUGUUUCUUUUGCGGUGACUUUUGUCACGUUUAAAGCGGUGUUGGCUGGCUUUGUUUCCGGCAUAGAUGGUUUCGUUAGCAUCUUUGGCCGGCUAUGUUUCUGAUAUCGGUGGUUUCAUCAACACCGGUGGUCGGCUCUGUACUCCGGCAUCGAACGGCUUCUUUAGCGUUGAUGGUUGGCUUAUCUCUAGUGGUCUCUCCGCUACUUUUGGCUCCGGUUUUUUCCGGAUUUAGUAUUUUCUUUUCUCUCCUUGGAUUUCAAUUGUGUAUCGGUUUCAAUUGGUUUUAAUUGCAUAAAUCAUCCUUUAAUCUGAGUUUGCAAUUCGCUGGUCCUCCCUUUCUUAAGGGGCUCGAUUUGGUUGGGAGUUGUGGAUUGGUGUCUCUCUUGGCUCUUUGGGAUGAUUUAGAAGCAAUUAGAGUAAUUGAUGGUAUAAUUCAUAUGUUGAUACUUGUUGGAUGGAGGCAGUUUGUUUGUUUUGCAGGUUCAAUGAUGGAAGCUUUGAUCCAAUCUAGAUUUGUUGAAAGGAAGUUAUGUUGUUUAGAAUCUGGAGUUCAAAGCUUUAGCCUAGUUUUUUUGGAUUCUAAAAGAUUUGCAUAAAGUGGAGUCUUAUUCUCAUCAAGCUAAACUGGAUUCUUGCCUUUAUUUCUUUGGGCAAAGAUUGAGUUCGAUCGAGCAGUCAGUUUUCCGACGAUUUCGGCCGGACUAUAUGCUUUCCGGCGACACAUCAACUGCCGGUUAUCGGAGAUUUCCACCCCCUUCGUCUUUUCUCCUCAUGUCUUCCAACUUGUUCUCCAAAAGCCACGUGUACUUUGCGCUGAAUUAUCAGCUUUUCCUUCUGUCUAGGGUUCCUUUAUGAUCUUUGUUUUGUUUUAUUAGGUCUGUUGACUGUGGUGUGUUUAUUUGAGCUUUGUAAAUGUUGGGCCCGUCACAAUUGGCUUUGGCGUUGUGGUUUAAGGCUUUCUCGUAUA